UCAAACCUGUAGAUAUAUUUAGAUAUUCUUAUGAUAUUUAAUAUUAAUAUUAAAUCUCCAAUUUUUGAGUUCCUUCUCCACGGGCAAUGAGAUUGAGGAAGGGCAUGGUCUUGGUUUAUCUUCAUCAAGGAAUCAAGAAUAAUGCUGGACUGCACUUAUCAAGAAAUCCAACAGAAAGCUCAUGAUAAGUUGCUUGAAGCAUUGUUAAUAAGUGGUGUUUAAGGAUAACUGUCACGGUGAGGAAUAUUAGCAAGCUCAGGUCCUUCUCUGCUUGAUAACAAGCUCACUGUGAUCGGACGAUUACUUAGGUGGUUGAUCAUACAUGCCAAGGCCUCCAGAUUGUGCCUGCAUUACAGGUUUUUUAUUUACAUGACACUUUAUUGGCACCAAUUUAUUGCUUCAAUUUUUUACUGUGGCAUUGUUUGGAAGAACUCAAGUGAUAGUUGAGAUACAUAUUAGGACAUUGCAUGUUCCACUAACUGGUUUUAACUGGCUGAUAGAGAAUAAACUGUAGAGACAAGACUGUAAAGGAAAGUGACAAUGUUAUCCAACAAUCAACAAAUAGAACUCUUGAACAAUUGUUAUAGUAACGUAUAACAAUUGACUGCUGACGUUGGGAAUAGCCAGAAGUCGGACACUGCCCGUAGAACUAGUAGCCAAGUUGCUGCAUCAUCAACCAGCCAGAAUUGAAGGACUGCAAAGUAGAACUCAUAUUAGCUUGCUUCUUGCUUGGCCCAACUUUCUGGAUGGUGGGAAAAUUCACCAAAGCAACAUGUCUACCUAAGUUGAAGAAUAGAACUUAAAAUAGUUAAUCACCAUUCACAUACACCAAUAAAAGAAAAACACUGAUUCUGUAGUGCUGCAUUGUGGGAUUGAAUGGCAGGGCAAUUCUCCUUUGGCAAAGAAACAAGUAUGCAUGUGCAUGUUCUUCCUGCCAAAGGAGGAUCACACUGUUAUUCUCUCCACAUCGUUAUUAUCUUUCUUCAACCCAAUCCAAAUAUAAGUUGGGUGAGCUGAUGUCCAGCCUUUAUAUAGGACCUAGCUAAGCACCUUCAAUGGCAUAUGCUUAUGUUAAACUUGAAUGAGGACAUAGCAUAUGCUUCCAGUCUAUUCUGAUCCUUUUUGUUUUUACACCCUUUACUUUUCUUUAGGGUCAUGGUAAUUAAAAAAAGUUCUUACCUUCACUCCCCCCCCCUUUCUUCCAUGGAUAUGCGGUUUUACAUUGAUCUUAUUUUGCCAUGUCGUAAGGAAUCAGAUCCUUGGUUUUUUUGGCUUUCUUGCAUAUAAGAUUCCUCAUUCUUGUGUCGUUAAUUUUUCUUCACCAGGCAUUACGCUCAAUUUUAGUAACAACACAUAUGUAGUAAAGAAUUGAUAAAAAUGAUUCUUGUCACUAGGAAAAUCACCCUCUUCGAUUCCUAAGCAUCUCAAAACCUCAAGUUUGGGAUUUGAUAAAUAGGUGCCCAUUCAACCUUAACAUUAGUAGGGGCAUUUGAGGAUUAGAACUUUUGGAAUAUCUCAAAUUCCUUGAUAAUAGUUGUUAGUCAUAUCUCAUUAAAAUGGUGGAAUUUGAGAAAUCUACAGUAACGAAGAUAAAAAUACUCAAUCAUGAAAAAUAAAUGUCUUCUUUUAUUAAUAUGUUAGUACGUAUAUAAGGAUAGGUUAUGCUGUAUAAUGAAAUUGCGUAGGCAUCAUUCUAAUCAAUAUGUAUGCUGUACGUAAUUAUUGAAGUUAAUUCAUGGUAUUAUAGAAAUAAUCUUGUGAUAAUGGCAUUAUAAAUUCCAAUAGCCAACAUGAGUCUACUUGGAAUCAAGCAUCAAAUCACAUCUGAUUCAGAUAGACUAAAGUAAGCUAAAUCAAAUUAUAACCACCUAGAAAGAUUACGAUUGUCUUGUACUACUAUAUUAUCUUAUACUCUAUUAAACCAAAUAUAUUAGAGUUGUCUUUUGUCUAUGGACACGACUGAAUGGAUCAGUACUUAAAAUUCGAUAUUAGUAAAUAUUAGUACUAACUCUUGUCAAUUUGUUCUUAAUGCCAGUAUGUUGUCGGCUUGCCUAUUAGAUUCCAAAAAUCACCAGCCAACGAAAUUUAGAUUCAUGCCAAACAAAAAGAUAUUACAAACUCUUUGCUAUUCCAUCUGUGCUUCGAAAUGAACAGUUUAUUCCUGGUUAAGUGAUAAGGGACCUACACUCAACUAUGAGGUACAUUCUGGAAUUGUAGUGCUGAGAUUUUCCGGAUGUUAAAAGAGACAUGAAGCUUAAUCGAUACGUAUAAAUAAGCAAAGUUGGAUCUGAAAUUACAACAUGAGGGAAAAAUAUAUUAGCACCAUCAGGAAUACUACAAUAAAAAAAUAGUGUAUAUUUGUUAAUUAGUAAAUAUAAAAAUUAUUAAUAUUUUUUAAUAAUUAUUUUUGAAUAUAUAUGUUCUUGCAAUUUAAAAAUGAUUCCACAGUCCCUUCGAGACUUCAGAUUAUAAAUGAUUCAGUAGAUUCAUGUAAUAUUCUAACAUAACAUUUUCUUUCCUUCCCUCUAAAACAACCAUUCUCUUUGUGAUUGGAAAAUUACAUAGGUGGUUGAUCAUACAUGUCUAGGGCUUCAAAUUGUGCCAGCAUUUCAGGUUUUUGUUUAUUUACAUGAGACGUUAUUGACACCACUUUAUUGUUUCAUUUUUUUUACUGUGGAAUUGUUUGGAAGGACUCAAGUGAUAGUUGAGAUACAUAUUAGGACACUGGACAUAGCAUGUUUCCACCAACUGGUUUUAUAGUCAUCCCUAGUGAUUCCACUGGCUGAUAGAGAAUAAACUGUAGAGGCAAGACUGUAAAGGAAAGUGAUAAUGUUUUCCGACAAUCAAUAUGUAGAAACAUUUUUAAAAUAAACAAUACAUAGACUCGACAAUCAGUUAUGCAGUUGGGAAUAAUCCGAAGUUCGGGCCAUUGCUUGUUGAACUAGUAACCAAGUUGCUCCAUCAUCAAGCAACCAGAAUUGGCCGGACUUUCUGGAUGGUGGGCAGUCACCAAAGCAUCUGUCAACUUAAGUUGAAGAGUAGAACUUGAAAUAGUUAAUCACCAUUCACACACUUCAAUUGAAGGAAACCACUUGUUUAGUGGUGCUGCAUUGUGGGAUUGAAUGGCAGGGCAAUUCUCCUUUGGCAAAGAAACAAGUAUGCAUGUGCAUGUUCUUCCUGCCAAUGGAGGAUCGCACUGUUAUUUGCUCCACAUUAUUAUUAUUAUUAUCUUUCUUCGACUCGACCCAAAUACUAUAAGUCAGGAGAGUUGAUGCCCAGCCUUUUAUAUAGGACCUAGCUAAGCACCUUCAGUGGCAUAUGCUUAUGUUGAACUUGGAUGAGGACAUAGCAUAUGCUCCCAGUCGAUUCCGAUCCUUUUUGGUUUUCACCCUUUGCUUUUCUUUGGGGUCAUGGUAAUUACAAAAAAGUUCUCACCUUCACUCUCCCUUUUUUUCUCCCAUGGAUAUGCUCUUACAUUGAGCUUAUUUUGCCAUGUCGUAAGGAAUCAGAUCCUUGGUUUUUUGCUUUCUUACAUAUAAGAUUCCUCGUUCUUAUGUCGUUAAUUUUUCUUCACCAGGGACUACAUUCACCAUCAUUAACAACACACAUGUAGCUAAGAAUUAAGAAAGACAAUCCUUGUCAAUUGGAAAAGUACCCUCUUCGAUUUCCUUAAUAAGUAACAUGAAAUCUUAAAGUGUGAGACUUCAUGAAUAGGUUCCCUUUCAACCUUUAUAUCAGUAGGGCAUUUACUUUGAGGAUGAACCUAAAUAGACUUAAAGGGAUUAGAGCUUUGGGAUAUCUCAAGUUCCUUGCUAAUAGUUUCCAUUUGGGCUAAUUUUAGGUUGAACCAUAUCCCUUUGAAAU
Molecule: long non-coding RNA, 3864 nt
Organism: Salvia splendens (bonfire salvia)
Lineage: Eukaryota; Viridiplantae; Streptophyta; Magnoliopsida; Lamiales; Lamiaceae
Exons: 5
Source: RefSeq, a predicted model, not a curated record